RNAcentral lists this ribosomal RNA (487 nucleotides) under Elphidium sp. S1. RNAcentral describes it as "SSU rRNA". It matches the Rfam family "Eukaryotic small subunit ribosomal RNA", at positions 1200 to 1585 of the family's 1831-position model. The record is from RNAcentral. Lineage: Eukaryota; Foraminifera; Rotaliida; Elphidiidae.
UCAACGCGGGAAAUCUUACCGGGUCCGGACACACUGAGGAUUGACAGACAAAUAUAGAAAUUUUAUAUUUCUCAUAUAUAAAGAUGCUAGUUCUUUCAUGAUUAUGUGAUAGGUGGUGCAUGGCCGUUCUUAGUUCGUGGAGUGAUCUGUCUGCUUAAUUGCGUUUCAAUUUUUAUUAUGUAUACGUAUGACCCACGUUUACGCGUGCGAGUCUAGUAUGCUAUCAUUUGAAAGCAACGAACGUGACCGUAUCCUUUUAUUAUAUACGCACGCGUAUAUUUAUUCAUUAAAGGGACCGCUGUUUCUUUUUUUAAACCAGAGGAAGGUUACGGCAAUAACAGGUCUGUGAUGCCCUUCGAUGUUCCGGGCUGCACACGUGCUACAAUGAUUAUUUCAUUAAGUAUCUACUAUACUGCACAUUAUGUGUAUUAAAACCUACCCUGAGAAUGGGCGGGUAAUCAAUUAGAAGUAAUGAUUUCCUUUUUUU